ACUAGUGAUUUCCGUAGGUGAACCUGCGGAAGGAUCAUUCGCACAAAAUGUUCUUACUACACGCCACACAUCAUAUUGAUACCCCUGUCAUCAAAAAGGAUUUCUUAUCCGACUCAUCGAUGUUGCAAUCUCAUUGUAGCGCUUACAAUGUUACCUAUCUCUUGCAACGACGAAUGCCUUGGCUCGAGGAUCGUUGAAGGACGCAGCGAACUGUGUUACACAUCUCGAAUUGCAGAUUUCCGAGAAAGAUAAGGAUUCUGAACGCAUUCUGCGAGUUGGUUCGCCAACUCACGUAGCAGGCGGUGAUCGCAAUAUGCAGUCGUUCAAACUCUGAAGUUUGAAUGGUUAUCUCAUGUUGUCGCCAGUGUUGGCGCCGACGUGAUCGUUGAAGUCAGCGUGCCUCUCGUUGCGAGCACAAGUUGCGACUUUGUUCAAAACUGUUUUCGUUUCGAUUGGUAAGCAUACUUUUGAAAAAUCAAAAGUUUUUUUUCGCACGCUCACGACCUGUUACGGGAUUACCCGCUGAAUUUAAGCAUAUCAA
This 541-nucleotide ribosomal RNA is filed under the name uncultured eukaryote. RNAcentral's name for it is "eukaryotic LSU rRNA". The stretch from base 159 to 308 matches the Rfam family "5.8S ribosomal RNA". The record is from RNAcentral.